GUAAAGGUAGGGGUGGUGAGGAGGUGAGUAGUGAACCGGUGGAGGAGGAGAAUAGACGGGAGGUGGCGGCGAUUUGUAUUCGUAGUGUUUCUUUGGUGGUGGGGGAGAGUGGUAAACCGGAGGGGGAGGAGACUGGUAAACCGGAGGAGGAGGAGAUUUGUACUCGUAAUGCUUCUUAGGUGGUGGAGGAGAGUGGUAAACCGGAGGAGGAGGAGACUUGUAAACCGGUGGAGGAGGAGAUUUGUACUCGUAGUGUUUCUUAGGUGGUGGAGGAGAGUGGUAGACUGGAGGAGGAGGAGACUUGUAAACCGGUGGAGGAGGUGAUUUGUACUCGUAGUGUUUCUUAGGUGGUGGGGGAGAAUGGUAAACCGGAGGAGGAGGAGACUUGUAAACUGGUGGAGGAGGAGAUUUGUACUCGUAGUGUUUCUUAGGUGGCGGAGGAGAGUGGUAAACUGGAGGAGGAGGAGACUUGUAAACCGGUGGAGGAGGAGAUUUGUACUCGUAGUGUUUCUUAGGUGGUGGAGGAGAGUGGUAGACUGGAGGAGGAGGAGACUUGUAAACCGGUGGAGGAGGAGAUUUGUACUCGUAGUGUUUCUUAGGUGGUGGAGGAGAGUGGUAGACCGGAGGGGGAGGAGACUUGUAAACCGGUGGAGGAGGUGAUUUGUACUCGUAGUGUUUUUUAGGUGGUGGAGGAGAGUGGUAAACCGGAGGAGGAGGAGAUUUGUAAACCGGUGGAGGAGGUGAUUUGUACUCGUAAUGUUUCUUGGGAGGAGGUGGAGACUUGUAAACUGGAGGAGGAGAGUAAUGCUUAACCGGUGGUGGAGGUGAUUUGUACUCGUAGUCCUUCUUUGGUGGAG
Molecule: long non-coding RNA, 857 nt
Filed under: Brassica rapa (field mustard)
Lineage: Eukaryota; Viridiplantae; Streptophyta; Magnoliopsida; Brassicales; Brassicaceae
Description: long non-coding RNA (BRAP_LNC005565)
Source: RNAcentral